Molecule: long non-coding RNA, 197 nt
Filed under: Monodelphis domestica (gray short-tailed opossum)
Lineage: Eukaryota; Metazoa; Chordata; Mammalia; Didelphimorphia; Didelphidae
Description: lncRNA (ENSMODG00000042257.1)
Source: RNAcentral
UUUUGCCAUCUUUCAUGUCUGACCAGGCUCUAGGGGAUCCACAGCACUAAUUCAACUGCCUCGAUCCACUGGGGAGUUGGACAUCUCUAAUGAAGAGGUUUCCUGUAAGUGUGAUGAUGGUGGAGUACAAAUCCAGGAAAUGCAGCUGAAUAAACACUGGAGCAGCCUCAACAAGGGAAAGAGAAACUGGAGAAUGC